Molecule: long non-coding RNA, 247 nt
Organism: Dama dama (fallow deer)
Lineage: Eukaryota; Metazoa; Chordata; Mammalia; Artiodactyla; Cervidae
Exons: 3
Source: RefSeq, a predicted model, not a curated record
UCACUGGCCACGCGGGACUCUGCACAGUAUUACUUUGUCCUGCACCGUCAGACCUGGAAUGCCCUCUUCACCCUCUACUUGUCAAAAUCCUCACUAUCCUCCAGGACCAGCAAAGUUUGCAGUGUCUUUCGUUAAGGAGGCUGCGGGUCCUCUGAAUUUCCCUGGGAGCCUGAGCCUCACCCACCUGCCCGGGAGAAGCCGUGAGCGGUGCCCUGACUCCUCCCGUCCAACAGGAGGCGCGACCCCG